GGGGUUGAUGAUGGGGUGUGGGAUUAAUGACGGGGUGUGGGGUUGAUGACGGAGUGUGGCGUUGAUGAUGAGGCGUGGGGUUUAUGACAGAGUGCGGGGUCGAUGAUGGGGUGUGGGGUUGAUGACGGGGCAUGGGGUUUAUGACAGCUUGUGUCAGACGAAGCCACAUCAACUCAUUCUGAGCACCCCUUUCCUCAAAACAUAAGGAUGAGCAUGACCAAAAUCUCAAGACAUUUUUCCUAAGUCCUUAAGAUGGAUGAACUUCUACAGGUAAGUAGGUAGAUUAAUAAACAGAGGUAAGGAAUGUUGGCAUGAAGAAGCUCCCUAGGCCACUGUGUGGCUGAAGCUCUGACUGGUCAUGCUGGUUAAGGAUGCAUCUGAGCAAGAUCGGUCGCUGACAGGUAGGUGUGUAGAAAAUAACCUAUAUGUGGUGGUCCAUUUUCAAUUCUAAGUGCCUUCAUAUAGGUUUAAGCAGGCUAUGUGGAAAUAGAGAAAUAAAGAAGCAGAAAUGUACUGAGUCACCACCCUGCCCUCCUUCCUGCUUUCCUUUUCACCCAGCGGCCAGGUGCCUAUCAGUAGGAGCCCCCUCAACUACCCUCUCCUCACCCCAUCAAAGAAUUUAGUUUAGGCUAGCUUGCAACAUAAAUAAUUAUACCUUUUCUUAUCAGCUACGUGCAGCCACCAGGGCCAUAGUCAAAUGUCUGAAGAGUCCUGAGACAGUUGCAAUGCAUGGUGGGCUGCAAUAAAAUGCAGCAGAAAGAUCCUAAAGAGCAUACUUGAAAUCUUAAUCCAAUGACCAAUAGGUGAUGUCCAGGAAGAUUGUAACCCCAUUUACUCAACCAAUGAGGAACUGGGGGAGGGACCUGCACACUAGGGGAUAAAUUGCUUGUUGAAACUCUGCUGGAGGUGGCUGCAUGCCAGCCAGACACCCAAUCUUGCAAGACUGUCAUUGAAAAUCUCUGUUUUGCUGUUCUCCGUGUCUCUGCAUCCAGCCUUUGGGUUUGGACGGGUGAGUUUGCUUCUCACAGGUGCGACUCUGUCUCUAUUUGCAUCAGGUUCAGUUUCUUCCUGGUUGACCUUGUGGGUGUGAAUGUUGUCACAGACCUGCCAGGCCAUCUUUCUGCAAGAAGAUAAAGGAAGACCAGGAGUGCCUGCCGAACUCCUACGGAGGAAGUCUAGGAGAGGAAGGGGACAGGGAGGAAGAUGGUGUCUGCAAACCAGGAAGCAGCCUUGCCAGACACAGGAUUGGCCACAACCUAGACCCCAGACUUCCAGCCUCCAGAACUGAAUUUCCCUGCACAGGCUCUCUUGCCUGCCACCAUGUAAGACCUGCCUUGGCUCCUCCUUCACCUUCCGCCAUGAUUGUGAGGCCACCCCAGCCAUGUGGAACUCUCCCACUGCACUGAGAAGCACGUGUUCUCCAUUUCCCUGGGGGAGACCAUUGUAUUGGGCAGUUUGGAACAAAACACCAUGGACUGGGAGGCUUACACAACAGAAAUUUAUUUCUUGCUGUUCUAGAGGCUGGGAAGCUCAAGGUGCUGGCUGCAUAUUCAUUCUGAGGCCUCUUCUGAUGUGCAGGCAGCUGCCUUCUGACUUGUGCUCACAUUGGAGAGAGGGAGUCAGCUUUGGUGUCUCUUCUUCUGACAGAGCAAGGGAAUGUGUGUGAAUGCUAAUCCAUGCACAUACGUGUCUAUAAAUAUUCUGCAUGGAACCAUCUGUGUCUAUGUCAAGCUAAACUGGAGUUCAUACCAGGGUCUCCAACCAUAGCCCAUCCCCACUGGGGUCCUUCCAGCUCACUCGGCUUCUGGAUGUACGACUCCCACAGGUGGAGGAAGGCCCCCAGAGAAGUCUGCUGAAAAUUGUUAUUCAUGAAUGGAGGUUGGACUUCUUCAGAUACGCUUCCCGAGUCUGUUAACAUGGUGAUGUGACGUUUGCCCUUCAUGUUACUCAUAGGGACUAUUCUGUUAGCUACCAAUUCUGCUGCUUUAAAUAAAAACACCAUUAAAAAACAAAAAGAAAAGAAACAAAUUGUAAUAAAAAUAUUUGCAUACAUAUACAAUCUGAAAGACGUAUCAAAAAAUAAACGUCCUUCGUUUACAAAUCAAAUAUACCUUUUUAAAAAAACAGACAAGACAGACAUUAGACAAAAGGUGAUACAAGAAUGACCAAUAAGCAAAUUGAAAGCGCUCAGUAUCCUCGGCCAUCAGGAAAUGCACAUUCAUCAUAAUGGGAUGCUGCAUGACGCACGUUGAAAUAACUGGAUGUGAAGAUCCUGGCCCCGCCCUGUGCCGGGAGGGUCUGGAACAUCUGGAAUAUUCACGUCGCCGGUGGGGAGGAGGUGCACAGGCACUUUGACCAUAGCGUGGCAGGUCCCCCACAACUAUAUGUACACCUGCCCUGUGCCCAGCAAAAUGUAAAUGUCUUCCACAAAUAGUCCUGGACAGGGUCUCUCAAAGGGGCUUUAACUGUAACAGCCCACACCUGGAAUUGUCCACAGUCCUGGGCGGGAUCACUCACAGGAACAGCCCACACCUGGAAUUGUCCAUCGUCCUGGGCGAGGUCACUCACAGUAACAGCCCACACCUGGAAUCGUCCACAGUCCUGGGCGGGAUCACUCACAGGAACAGCCCACACCUGGAAUUGUCCAUCGUCCUGGGCGAGGUCACUCACAGUAACAGCCCACACCUGGAAUCGUCCACAGUCCUGGGCGGGAUCACUCACAGGAACAGCCCACACCUGGAAUUGUCCAUCGUCCUGGGCGGGGUCGCUCACAGUAACAGCCCACACCUGGAAUUGUCCAGCGUUCCUCAGCAGGAAACAGUUAAAGAAAGUGUCUAACCACACAUGGAAGGCCACUGGGCAAUGAAAAUGCAUGAACUUCUGGCGUCCACAAUCUAGUGGAUGAAUCUCAAAAGAUACUUCGAGCAAAAACACCGGACAGAAGCGUCCGUGCCGGCCCCGCAGGCUGCCUGUGUGCCAGGCUAUCCCGUGCCAUCUGAUCCGGGAGAAGCAGGACUUUCUCGCACAGGUACUCAGCGCUGUGGCUGUGGGAGGAGCCGGGAGGGCCCUGGCGUGGGUGAGCUUGGGGAAACUGUAGGAGCUGGAAAUAUUUCAUAUCUUAUUUAUUUGGGGUGUUGUUUACAGGGGAACUUGACAAACUCAUCUAAUGGUACAAUCGAGACAUCUGUGUAAAUAAAGUGUCAAAAAUCAUCCUGCUGACAUCCAUGCUCCCCGCCCCACGGCGCUUCCCGGCCCUCAGCCCUCCUGUGCGGCUCCUGCCCCCUGGCCAGGGCAUCUCCCAGACCAGUGCUAGGCAGCAGGCACUGUCCUAACCCCAGAGCCUGUGGGCCUGGGGCAUCAGUGAGGAGGAGGCUGAGGAGGAGGCUGAGGACUGAUGGUUUGCAGGUUGCUCCGGGAGACCAGAAACCUGGUGAGGAGAGGCAUUAGGAGGUGAGGUAGGAGGCGUUACGAAGGCCCACGAAAGCUGCCUGUUUGGUUGGUUUUAGUGGGGAGAUAGUUUUCCAGUACAGAAUUUCUACCAGAAUGCCCCAUACAUAAAAUAUAACCAUGACAUGAGAUGCUUUGGGGCAGCCUUGGGGUGGAUGGGACCUGUGUCCCCCUCUGCAGUCCUCACAGGCACCCCCCUUGUGGGUCUCAGGCUGAGAUGCACCGAGCCAGCUGGAAAAUGCCGGGUCAGGGGGCUGCUCAGGGGCGGCUUCUCUUUAGGUAAAGUCAGUGAAUCCUGAUGGCCAAGUGCGAGGCAUCGGGGAGAUCGCAGAAAGGGUCGAGGGACUCAGGCCCAAGCCCGGGGUGACAAAAUCUUAUAAGUGGAAUCAUAGAGUAUGUAAGAUGGCGUGUGUGUGUGUGUGAGAGAGAGAGAGAGAGACAGAGAGGAGAGUGGGGGUCUUGGUAACCUUUAGGUCACAUUUGGCAGUUUAAACAUAAACCUGCUUCCAAAUUAACUGGCUUUGGAGACGUCUGUGACUCAUGGGCACACCCUGCCCCUGAGUGGAGAAUCUCACCGUCAGCUUCUCCGGCUGUUGAUGUGCUGAUCGGCACCCACUGACACUGAAAGGAUGCUGAUUUGUUUCUGAACCGUGAAAUGUUGAUCUGAUUCUGUGUCAUGACAUUCUGCUGACUUGCUUCUGAAUCACGAAGUUUUGCUGGUUUGUUUCGGAAUCAUGAAGCUUUCUGAUUGCCUUGUUAUAGCCCUCACGGUAUGAUCAGUGUGCACUGGCUGUGCCCUCCAACCUGUCCCCCCAUGAGAAGGAUGCCUCUGUUGUGAGGAGUCCUCUCCCUUCUCCUAAACUUUUCCGGAAAGUCUUCCACCUAGUAGCCGACCCCAGAACAUGCUCAGUUCUGUGGGCGUCUUCCCAAGUGGAUCCCCGUGUUCAGCUUCCAAUAAAACUUUAUCCAGUUACUUCUGCCUGCACAGCCUUAGUUUCCAUCAGAAGUCUACACGUGUGUAUGUGUAUAGACACACACACACACACACGUGCGCACGUGCACACACAUGCACGUUUUGUGUCUGGCUAUUUUCACUUACAAUUUUUUUUUUUGUCAGCCUAACAGGUGAAUCUGAUUUUGAUUCUUUAGAUGCUGCCUAAGGAAGUUGAAGAAAAAAAUUCCUUUUUUUGUAGUAGCUGGAUCUGUAUCCAAAAUUUAACGUAUUGUAGCUCUCCUGCUGUGCCAGGCUCAGUUUGUUUUAAAGAUUUCCCGGAGGGGACGACUCAGAAAGAGGCUCUGAGGGUGUGGCAGCCUCUGCACACUUUGGGUGCCACCAGCUGACGUGUGACUGUGACUUCACGGGCGGUGCCCCGGCCUCACGUGCCUCGUGGUUCUCUGUCUCUCUCCUGCUCACGGGCAGUGCCCCGGCCUCACGUGCCCCGUGGUUCUCUGUCUCUCUCCUGCUCACGGGCGAUGCCCUGGCCUCACGUGCCUCGUGGUUCUCUGUCUCGCUCCUGCUCACGGGCGGUGCCCCGGCCCCACAUGCCUCAUGGUUCUCUGUCUCUCUCCUGCUCAUGGGCAGUGCCCCAGCCUCACGUGCCCCGUGGUUCUCUGUCUCUCUCCUGCUCACGGGCGGUGCCCUGGCCUCACGUGGCCCGUGGUGCUCUGUCUCGCUCCUGCUCACCUGCGGGGCUUUCGUCUCUGCCCAGGGAUGAAACCAUCAUGUGGCUUAAUUGAUAUUUUGUGAAAGCUGCAAAUUAUGUGUGCAGUCCUGUCAAUAAUUCCUAUUUGCUGACUUUCUCUUUUCUCCAGUAUUCUACAACCAUAUGUACAGUCAAAGCUGUCCACCUUUUACAUUCAUGAUUGAUGCUCCAUAAAUAUGCUGGCUAGAUAAAGCCGCAGCUGUUAGGCAAAGGAAAGAAAGACACAUUUAUCUGAGACCCGAGGCAGCUGUCAAGCAGUGGGAAUGGCCCUGAAGGCCAUAAAGAACCCAGAAUGACCGACCGGGAUCCGGGUGGACAGGAGCGGGGGGGUGGACUCUGACCCCAGCCACGCCCACACCUCCUAUCCUUGCACUGUUCCGGGGAUGAAGUGGAUUUUGGGAGCUGGGCACGGGGCACAAACUCUCUCUAACAGCUGUGGUGGAACCAGGGCUCACUGCAAAACCCCUUUCCUGUUGGGAUGCCUCAUGGGCUGGACCCCGUGAGGGCUCUUCAGAAAGGUGAGAACACGCAGUAAGACCUUUCUCCAAAGAUACUGAAGAUGACAGCAACCCACGGUUAGCACAAUUUUAUAAAGACUGAAAACUUGCUGAGCCUGUGCAGUUAAUAAGUGGAGACACAAGGCAAAAUCCAAUGAUAAGCAAGUGAAGAUCCAUCGUUAUGCGAUGAACAGUAUUUCCAUGAAGUUCUGCUUAGUGAGAAUAGAGAUCACAUGCUCCCUUCCAUUUUUCAAACAUUAUUUCUUGUUCUUGCGGUCUGGAAGAAAAUGACUGAAAGAUUACUUUGUUUCUCUUUGAUUCACUUUAAAAGAUGUGGGAAAGGGAACGCGAGCUGCCCAGCUGCCCGGGAGACCAGGUUACCUUCCUUUACCCCGGAAGGCAGCCUGCCCUGCUACAGCGUUGCCUCAUGCUCCGAUCACCACACACAUCAAUGGCCGGAGGAGAGGGUCAGGAUAACUCGGGACGGACUCCUCCCAGGAGCUCCCUGGGCAAAGGCGAUCCCAUCGGGGAAGCGGGAUUCCCUCCUCCAGUAGGGAAGAAGCGCCCUCAGCAAGGAGACUGCCGAGGCGUGGGGACGCUCUGCUCUGCGUUUGUGGAAACCAGGCACUCGCCUGGCACAGGGUCUCACACCCCAGUCUCGGUGCAGCCUUGUGUGGGUCUGGUGCUUGGGAGGGCGCGUUCCCCACGUGCCUACUGAGGAGCCGCUCCCUGGCUCAGGGCUCCUCCUCCACCCAACACCAGCAUCUCCACACGGUUGGGUGCAGUUUUAAAAGCCGCUUUCUCAAGAUAUUCUUCACAUAUCAUGACAUGUGCACAGGCAGAGUGCCAAUCAAGUCCUUUCAGAGUACUCGGAGAUCCAGUCGAUGGCGUUGGGCGUACUCGGAGAUCCAGUCGGUGGCGUUGGGUGUACUCGGAGAUCCAGUCGGUGGCGUUGGGUGUACUCGGAGAUCCAGUCGCUGCGUUGGGUGUACUCGGAGAUCCAGUCGCUGCGUUGGGUGUACUUGGAGAUCCAGUCGGUGGUGUUGGGCGUACUCGGAGAUCCAGUCGGUGGCGUUGGGUGUACUCGGAGAUCCAGUCGGUGGCGUUGGGUGUACUCGGAGAUCCAAUCGGUGGUGUUGGGUGUACUCAGAAAUCCAGUUGAUGGCAUUCAUUGUACUCGGAGAUCCAGUCGAUGGCGUUGCGUGUACUCGGAGAUCCAGUCGGUGGCGUUGGGUGUACUCGGAGAUCCAGUCGGUGGCGUUGGGUGUACUCGGAGAUCCAGUCGGUGGCGUUGGGUGUACUCAGAGAUCCAGUUGAUGGCAUUCAGCGUACUCGGAGAUCCAGUGGAUGGCAUUGGGUGUACUCGGAGAUCCAGUCGGUGGCGUUGGGUGUACUCGGAGAUCCAGUCGGUGGCGUUGGGUGUACUCAGAGAUCCAGUCGGUGGCGUUGGGUGUACUCGGAGAUCCGGAUUGAUGCUGAAUAUACGGGGUCAGGAAGAUGCAGUUCCUGACCGCUGGGUGUGGUCCCCGGAACAGCCAGGCUGCGCUGGGUGCUGAGGCCACUGCUGUCAGUGAGGAGAGACCUGCUUUUGCAGGUGGAUCAGAGAGUUCUGAACUCCUCUGUCAUUUCAUUAGGAAACAGGUUUUCAGGCCCUGGGCUGCAGCUCCUGGUGCUGAGAACUUUCCAGAAGGUUGGUGGCUCCUGUUCUACGCCUUGUCAGGGAAGAUGUGGGUUCGCCCCAGGUGCUCCAGAAAGGUCGUGUUCUCUAGGGAGUGAAGACGGGUGGGCAUAAGCGUGGGUCCGGGGCCACCCUCUGUCGUCUGCCAGCGUGUUUCUCAUCCAGCCACGUCUCGGAAGGUCUGUGACUGCUGAAAACAUUGUGUGCAUGAACGUUGGGGAAGGAAACCCACCCAGAGGAGGGGCACGCGCCACCCCAGGCGUCAGAGCACCAAGCUGCAGAGAACAGAGGCAGCAGGUGCCCGGGACACACGGGGGAGACCGCAGGAGCAGCCUGUGUCCUCUGUGGCUCAGUCCCACGAGAAACUGGAGGCCAGCGCUUCACAGCUCCCAUUUGCAGAGACCAGCUCCCGUGAAUGAAGCAAACAACCUGAUGUUUGCAUUUGCAAGAGGAACUGUGAUUGUACCAGGGACGGGGUCUUCAGGUUGUGCAUGAGAGUCUGGGGUCCACGCAUGGAGAGGGAGUGGUGUCAGAGGGUCAGAGCCCAUGGGCGGUUCUGGGACAUGGAAGCUGGUGUCGAGUCAGUUGGGGACGUGGCCUCCCCGGCACAGCCAGGGUGAGUGUCCUCUCUCUCUAAGGCGAGGCAGGAGGGGCCUCUUGUUUCUCAGCCCCCGCAGCUCUGGCCACCCCAGGCUUAUGGCACACGGUAAUGGAUAUUUCUGAAUGUCUCUUUGGCCAAAUGAGUCUGGAAAAUGAUGUGCUAAGGUGCUCUUGGGAUUGUUUUCAUGGAUCCCAGGUUCGUCAUGUGUAUAAUGUGGCAAUCUGCACCGUAAACCCCGAGCUGCGCAGCCUGGCGUGGCGUGCGUCCGUAACGCAUUUAACCACCAUUUAUUGUUGUUAUUAUCAUUUUUAUUAUUGUCAUUAUUUGGGUAAUAGUAAAGAAGUGUGCUUUAUGUGGCUUUUUGUCAUUUUUUAAGCCAAGUUGGCAGUUUUUUGUUUUAUGCAUGUUUCUCUUAUUUUUAAUUUCUUGAAAUGUUCCUCCCUGGGUCCUCGAGGCAGAUGAUAAAAUAAAUGUUAUGCGUUUUUCACAUUUCCAAAGAAAGAGUAGGGAAGUCCUGGAAAGAUGUGCUAAAUGUAGGAGCCAAGGAUUUCAGAAAAAGCAAUUUCUCUUUUUGCAGAAAGAAAUCAGGCAUUUCAAGUGAGUUACUAUU
This is a long non-coding RNA of Gorilla gorilla gorilla (western lowland gorilla), 8536 nucleotides long. RefSeq lists it as uncharacterized. Lineage: Eukaryota; Metazoa; Chordata; Mammalia; Primates; Hominidae. The transcript has 5 exons. The record is from RefSeq and is a predicted model, not a curated record.